UACGGAGGGGACUAGCGUUGUUCGGAAUUACUGGGCGUAAAGCGCGCGUAGGCGGAUUUGCAAGUCGGGGGUGAAAGCCCGAGGCUCAGCCUCGGAACUGCCCUCGAUACUGCAAAUCUCGAGUCCGAGAGAGGUGAGUGGAAUUCCUAGUGUAGAGGUGAAAUUCGUAGAUAUUAGGAAGAACACCAGUGGCGAAGGCGGCUCACUGGCUCGGUACUGACGCUGAGGCGCGAAAGCGUGGGGAGCAAACAGG
RNAcentral lists this ribosomal RNA (253 nucleotides) under uncultured bacterium. RNAcentral's name for it is "partial 16S ribosomal RNA". It matches the Rfam family "Bacterial small subunit ribosomal RNA", at positions 524 to 776 of the family's 1533-position model. The record is from RNAcentral.